GCAGACACAUUCCAGCCAAUCAGCAGCAGACCCUCCCUCCCAGACCCUCCCACCUCCUGGACAGCUCAUUGAAUGAAGCUUCACAAUUGUAAAAUGGAUGCUGUCCAGGAGGUGGGAGGGUCUGGGAGGGAGGGUCUGCUGCUGAUUGGCUGGAAUGUGUCUG
This 163-nucleotide microRNA precursor is filed under the name Pelobates cultripes (western spadefoot toad). Lineage: Eukaryota; Metazoa; Chordata; Amphibia; Anura; Pelobatidae. The record is from RNAcentral.